GAUGAACGCUGGCGGCGUGCCUAAUACAUGCAAGUCGAGCGAACGGACGAGAAGCUUGCUUCUCUGAUGUUAGCGGCGGACGGGUGAGUAACACGUGGAUAACCUACCUAUAAGACUGGGAUCACUUCGGGAAACCGGAGCUAAUACCGGAUAAUAUUUUGAUCCGCAUGGUUCAAAAGUGAAAGACGGUCUUGCUGUCACUUAUCGAUGGAUCCGCGCUGCAUUAGCUAGUUGGUAAGGUAACGGCUUACCAAGGCAACGCUGCAUAGCCGACCUGAGAGGGUGAUCGGCCACACGGGAACUGAGACACGGUCCAGACGCCUACGGGAGGCAGCAGUAGGGAAUCUUCCGCAAUGGGCGAAAGCCUGACGGAGCAACGCCGCGUGAGUGAUGAAGGUCUUCGGAUCGUAAAACUCUGUUAUUAGGGAAGAACAUAUUUGUAAGUAACUGUGCACAGCUUGACGGUACCUAAUCAGAAAGCCACGGCUAACUACGUG
This 497-nucleotide ribosomal RNA is filed under the name uncultured bacterium. Its description in RNAcentral is "partial 16S ribosomal RNA". It matches the Rfam family "Bacterial small subunit ribosomal RNA", at positions 28 to 507 of the family's 1533-position model. The record is from RNAcentral.